RNAcentral lists this long non-coding RNA (219 nucleotides) under Elaeis guineensis (African oil palm). RNAcentral describes it as "long non-coding RNA (EGUI_LNC004639)". The record is from RNAcentral. Lineage: Eukaryota; Viridiplantae; Streptophyta; Magnoliopsida; Arecales; Arecaceae.
UCAAGUUAGGUGGCCAAUCCAACAAACUUUCCUAUUAUCUCGAUGAACUCAUAUGGGAAGGAGAUGAAUUGGGAUCAAAUAAGUCUGGAUUGGACUUAAUCUCCUUCCUUGGCUUGGUCCCAGGCCCUAGAUGGCCGAAUCUUGAAAGUGAUAAACUAUAGCUUGAGCUGCAAUCGAACCACCUUAGUUGAUGCCUCAUCCCUAGCACCAUCACCCCUA